This 566-nucleotide ribosomal RNA is filed under the name Enterobacterales bacterium. RNAcentral describes it as "bacterial SSU rRNA". It matches the Rfam family "Bacterial small subunit ribosomal RNA", at positions 834 to 1400 of the family's 1533-position model. The record is from RNAcentral. Lineage: Bacteria; Pseudomonadati; Pseudomonadota; Gammaproteobacteria; Enterobacterales.
GAGGCGUGGCUUCCGGAGCUAACGCGUUAAGUCGACCGCCUGGGGAGUACGGCCGCAAGGUUAAAACUCAAAUGAAUUGACGGGGGCCCGCACAAGCGGUGGAGCAUGUGGUUUAAUUCGAUGCAACGCGAAGAACCUUACCUGGUCUUGACAUCCACAGAACUUGGCAGAGAUGCCUUGGUGCCUUCGGGAACUGUGAGACAGGUGCUGCAUGGCUGUCGUCAGCUCGUGUUGUGAAAUGUUGGGUUAAGUCCCGCAACGAGCGCAACCCUUAUCCUUUGUUGCCAGCGGUUAGGCCGGGAACUCAAAGGAGACUGCCAGUGAUAAACUGGAGGAAGGUGGGGAUGACGUCAAGUCAUCAUGGCCCUUACGACCAGGGCUACACACGUGCUACAAUGGCGCAUACAAAGAGAAGCAAUCUCGCGAGAGCUAGCGGACCUCAUAAAGUGCGUCGUAGUCCGGAUUGGAGUCUGCAACUCGACUCCAUGAAGUCGGAAUCGCUAGUAAUCGUGAAUCAGAAUGUCACGGUGAAUACGUUCCCGGGCCUUGCACUCCCCGCCCGUCAA